CGAUCAUCGGUCUCUCGAACGCAAAUGGCGGCUAAGGGCUUGCUCUUAGCCACGUUCGAUCGAGUGUCGGCU
This 72-nucleotide ribosomal RNA is filed under the name Gyrodactylus longoacuminatus. Its description in RNAcentral is "partial 5.8S ribosomal RNA". Lineage: Eukaryota; Metazoa; Platyhelminthes; Monogenea; Gyrodactylidea; Gyrodactylidae. The record is from RNAcentral.